UGUAUGCUUUGGUGGGAAGCAGCCUCUUUCACUAACUAUUGAGAAAGAAUUUGCUCAAAACUCAGAAAGGGUUAAAUCUGUGGAUCAACAUCCAACUGAACCAUGGAUUCUAGUAAGUUUGUAUUCAGGAACUGUUUGUAUCUGGAACUACCAGUCACAGGUCAUGGAGAAGUCCUUCAAGGUCACUGAGUCACCAGUGAGGUCAGCCAA
Molecule: non-coding RNA, 210 nt
Organism: Prunus mume (Japanese apricot)
Lineage: Eukaryota; Viridiplantae; Streptophyta; Magnoliopsida; Rosales; Rosaceae
Source: RefSeq, a predicted model, not a curated record